UGCUCACUGGGCUUUGUAGCUCACCCCUCUCCCCUAACCCCAGGUGUGCAGGUACAGGGUAGACCAGGAGGUUAGCCAGAGUUUUGAAGUAUGUUUAUGUAAUAGUUAGAUUGUGGACAUGACAAUUAUACUAUGAUGUAAUGUAAGAGAUUUCAGUAUGUUAUGUAAUGAGGUAUAUUGAGGUUAUAGAUGUGCUUGACCCUAUGAGUAUUGUUAUCCC
RNAcentral lists this long non-coding RNA (220 nucleotides) under Manihot esculenta (cassava). RNAcentral's name for it is "long non-coding RNA (MESC_LNC004163)". The record is from RNAcentral. Lineage: Eukaryota; Viridiplantae; Streptophyta; Magnoliopsida; Malpighiales; Euphorbiaceae.